CAUGCAAGUCGAACGGCAGCACAGGGGAGCUUGCUCCCUGGGUGGCGAGUGGCGGACGGGUGAGGAAUACAUCGGAAUCUACCUUGUCGUGGGGGAUAACGUAGGGAAACUUACGCUAAUACCGCAUACGACCUACGGGUGAAAGCGGAGGACCGCAAGGCUUCGCGCGAUUGGAUGAGCCGAUGUCGGAUUAGCUAGUUGGCGGGGUAAAGGCCCACCAAGGCGACGAUCCGUAGCUGGUCUGAGAGGAUGAUCAGCCACACUGGAACUGAGACACGGUCCAGACUCCUACGGGAGGCAGCAGUGGGGAAUAUUGGACAAUGGGCGCAAGCCUGAUCCAGCCAUGCCGCGUGGGUGAAGAAGGCCUUCGGGUUGUAAAGCCCUUUUGUUGGGAAAGAAAAGCAGUCGGUUAAUACCCGAUUGUUCUGACGGUACCCAAAGAAUAAGCACCGGCUAACUUCGUGCCAGCAGCCGCGGUAAUACGAAGGGUGCAAGCGUUACUCGGAAUUACUGGGCGUAAAGCGUGCGUAGGUGGUUCGUUAAGUCUGAUGUGAAAGCCCUGGGCUCAACCUGGGAAUUGCAUUGGAUACUGGCGGGCUAGAGUGCGGUAGAGGAUGGCGGAAUUCCCGGUGUAGCAGUGAAAUGCGUAGAGAUCGGGAGGAACAUCUGUGGCGAAGCGGCCAUCUGGACCAGCACUGACACUGA
RNAcentral lists this ribosomal RNA (705 nucleotides) under uncultured bacterium. RNAcentral describes it as "bacterial SSU rRNA". It matches the Rfam family "Bacterial small subunit ribosomal RNA", at positions 54 to 749 of the family's 1533-position model. The record is from RNAcentral.